AUUGAACGCUGGCGGCAUGCCUUACACAUGCAAGUCGAACGGUAACAGGUCUUCGGAUGCGGACAUGUGGCGAACGGGUGAGUAAUACAUCUGAACGUGCCCGAUCGUGGGGGCUAACGAGGCGAGAGCUUUGCUAAUACCGCAGGCGAUCUACGGAUGAAGGCUGGGGAUCGUCGGAUCUGGCGCGGACGGAUCGUCCGGUGGCAGGGGAUGUACUUGGUGGGAUAAAAGCUUACCAAGCCGACGAGCGGUAGCUGGACUGAGAGGAGGAGCAGGCACACUGGGACUGAGACACGGACACGACUCCUACGGGAGGGAGCAGUGGGGAAUUUUGGACAAUGGGAGAAAGCCUGAUCCAGCCAUGCCGAGUGCAGGAUGAAGGCCUUCGGGUUGUAAACUGCUUUUGUACGGAACGAAAAGCCUCUUUCUAAUAAAGAGGGGUCAUGACGGUACCGUAAGAAUAAGCACCGGCUAACUACGUG
RNAcentral lists this ribosomal RNA (482 nucleotides) under uncultured bacterium. Its description in RNAcentral is "partial 16S ribosomal RNA". It matches the Rfam family "Bacterial small subunit ribosomal RNA", at positions 30 to 507 of the family's 1533-position model. The record is from RNAcentral.